This 375-nucleotide ribosomal RNA is filed under the name Haemopis lateromaculata. RNAcentral's name for it is "partial 12S ribosomal RNA". Lineage: Eukaryota; Metazoa; Annelida; Clitellata; Hirudinida; Haemopidae. The record is from RNAcentral.
UAUUUUUAUUUAAUAUAGAGAUUGGAGACUACGAGCUAUGGCUUAAAAACUAAAGAAAAUGGCGGUAUUUUAUUUAAUCAGGGUGGCAUGUAGUUUAAUUUGAUAGUCCACGAUUUUUAACCCUAAUUUUGAAUUACAGUAUGUGUACUGCCGUAAGAUGUAAUUUUAUUGAAUUAUGGGUUUUAUUUAAGGGCUAAUAUACAAAUUUGUAUUAAUACUUCUUUAAAUAUAAAUUCAGGUCUAAGUGCAAUUUAUGAUUAGGGGUACAUAUGUGCUACAUUUAUAUAAUUAUUCGACCAUGUUAUUAAUUAGUGUGUAAGGAGAACUUGAUAGUAAUUAAGUUAAUUAAAUUUAAUGAAUUUAAAUUAAAAUGUG